Molecule: ribosomal RNA, 139 nt
Filed under: uncultured bacterium
Lineage: Bacteria
Description: partial 16S ribosomal RNA
Rfam family: Bacterial small subunit ribosomal RNA
Source: RNAcentral
UGGGGAAUAUUGGGCAAUGGGCGCAAGCCUGACCCAGCAACGCCGCGUGAAGGAAGAAGGCUUUCGGGUUGUAAACUUCUUUUGACAGGGAAGAGCAGAAGGCGGUACCUGUCGAAUAAGCCACGGCUAACUACGUGCC